ACGUAGGGGGCCAGCGUUGCUCGGAAUUACUGGGCGUAAAGGGUUCGUAGGCGGUGUGGUAAGUCGGAAGUGAAAUCUCUGGGCUUAACCCAGAGGCUGCUUUCGAAACUGCCGUGCUAGAGUGCGGGAGAGGCGAGUGGAAUUGCAGGUGUAGCGGUGAAAUGCGUAGAUAUCUGCAGGAACACCCGUGGCGAAGGCGGCUCGCUGGACCGCAACUGACGCUGAGGAACGAAAGCUAGGGGAGCAAACAGGAUUAGAUACCCUGGUAGUCCUAGCCCUAAACCAUCAGGACUUGGGGUGGCCCGCGUUGGCGGGUCGUCCCGGAGCUAACGCGUUAAGUCCUGCGCCUGGGGAGUACGGUCGCAAGGCUG
RNAcentral lists this ribosomal RNA (371 nucleotides) under uncultured bacterium. RNAcentral describes it as "bacterial SSU rRNA". It matches the Rfam family "Bacterial small subunit ribosomal RNA", at positions 525 to 896 of the family's 1533-position model. The record is from RNAcentral.